RNAcentral lists this non-coding RNA (78 nucleotides) under Rhodobacter sp. Lineage: Bacteria; Pseudomonadati; Pseudomonadota; Alphaproteobacteria; Rhodobacterales. RNAcentral also lists the same sequence under 1 other name. The record is from RNAcentral.
UCGGGCGGGUGUGGCGAUUUGUUACCGGAUUGCGGGCCACGUUAAACAAGCCGCUAAAGAGGUCAGGGGAUUUGCGCC